This 185-nucleotide small nuclear RNA is filed under the name Carlito syrichta (Philippine tarsier). RNAcentral's name for it is "U1 spliceosomal RNA (ENSTSYG00000024862.2)". The stretch from base 1 to 164 matches the Rfam family "U1 spliceosomal RNA". From Rfam's summary of the family: U1 is a small nuclear RNA (snRNA) component of the spliceosome (involved in pre-mRNA splicing). Its 5' end forms complementary base pairs with the 5' splice junction, thus defining the 5' donor site of an intron. The record is from RNAcentral. Lineage: Eukaryota; Metazoa; Chordata; Mammalia; Primates; Tarsiidae.
AUACUUACCUGGCAGAGGGGAUACCAUGAUCACCAAGGUUAUUCUCCCGGAACAAGGGUCCUCCACCCAACUCCAGACUUGUUGACUGCGAUUUCCCCAAUUUAGGAAACUCAACUGGGGAAUUCGUGCUCAUUGGAGGACUGCACAUAUAAACCUGGCCCGAGACAGAUAUGGGCCCACUCCAG